UUUUUGUUUUUUUGUAUUUUCUAAUUUGAUAUUUAAAUAGCCCUUUCUUUUAAAAUUCACCAUAAAUUCAUUUUUGAUCCAAAAUUAUGGGACCAACACCAAAAAUUCACAUAUAUUUUCUUCUUCCCAUUUAUGAUUUAAAAUUAAUUUUUGGAUUAAGUUUGAUAUUUUUGGUGAAUUUUGUGAUUUUUAACAUUUCUUAAUUAGUUUUUAAUUACUUCUGACUUUUGAAAAAUAC
RNAcentral lists this long non-coding RNA (238 nucleotides) under Lathyrus oleraceus (garden pea). Its description in RNAcentral is "Pisum sativum (pea) long non-coding RNA (PSAT_LNC006348)". Lineage: Eukaryota; Viridiplantae; Streptophyta; Magnoliopsida; Fabales; Fabaceae. The record is from RNAcentral.